CCGCCUGGCUGAAGACGCAUCCCGUUAGCUCCCUCCUCCCGAGCGUCAUGUGACCUCCAGAUUCUGGACGCAGGCAUUGUGGGAAAGAUUGAGGAAGAGCUGGAGAAAGCUAAGGUGAAGAAGAGCAACAAGAAAGUGCGUGUCACUGUGAAACCUCACCUGCUGUUCCAGCCUCUGGAGCAGCAGCACGGUGUAGUUCCUGACCCCGACGCCGGAGUAUCACCUGUUCGACCGCGUCAUUAACGUCAGGGAGAAUUUCU
Long non-coding RNA from Pangasianodon hypophthalmus (striped catfish), 260 nucleotides. RefSeq lists it as uncharacterized. The record is from RefSeq and is a predicted model, not a curated record. The transcript has 3 exons. NCBI's taxonomy places the organism in Eukaryota, Metazoa, Chordata, Actinopteri, Siluriformes, Pangasiidae.